Diabrotica virgifera virgifera (western corn rootworm) is the source of this 1233-nucleotide long non-coding RNA. RefSeq lists it as uncharacterized. The record is from RefSeq and is a predicted model, not a curated record. The transcript has 2 exons. Lineage: Eukaryota; Metazoa; Arthropoda; Insecta; Coleoptera; Chrysomelidae.
UAUAUGUAUGUGUGUGUGUAUAUAUAUAUGUGUAUAUAAUAAAAAAAAAAUUGUUCAUAAGAUCAAUUUUUUUUUCUUACAAGUAAUGGGGGAAUGUAACGAUGAGUGAUACUCAUCGUCACUUUAUAAUAUGCAUUUCAAAAUAUUUAUUAGGAAAAGCAACUCCCAAUAAGUAUACAACCAAAUAUACUUCAGCGUGUAGUAGGUAUUGCCUAGAUUUUUACUAUUUGGAUGAUGUUUGUAACUUUUGGGGAAAUUCAAGUUUUAUAAGUUGGUUCGCCUGGCGAUGCCGGCAUCCGGCUGGCGUGUUGGUCAUUUCGGCAACCGCAGCGGUCCGGCACUUAGUUUUCGGCUUUUGAUAAGGCAACAGUUCAAUCUCCGCCGGUGGCCAUUGCAUAAGAAAUAGAAAUUUGGUUGACAUAUUAAUUUAUAAGAAGAGUAAUUUACGUUGGAGGAAGUUUUGUUUUGGUUUUGUAGUGUGGAGUGUUUUAAGAGAAGAGUUUUUAUUUUUCAACUCCGUUUUUGGAAAGCAAUGGCCACUGGUGGAGAAGGAGAAGUAGAAGAUUAAGUCAAGUCACAGCUUUUGUUUUUUUGGAAAUGGAAUAAAAUAAUUUUGGGAAAUUUUGGGCGAUUUUGUUACUUUUAUGGAAUAUAUGUUGAUUUGCCAGUCAUAGAAGCGUACCUCCUUGUGGAUGACAGUACCCCCCCAGGUUUGGGGAAGAUUGGAGGAUAACUUGGAUCUCCAACCAUUCAUCUAGCAGGAUUUUGGAGAAGAAACCAGCUCUCACUUGUAGAAGCAACAGGUUUUAUAGUAAAAUUUACGUUUUCAAUUUUUGUUCAAUAAUAUCUUUCAACUUUAAUAGUUUUAAUAACUUUGAAAUAAAUAACCUUAAUAAUAAUAUAAACUCACUUUGCUAAAAUUUAAUAACUGUCUAAUAUUUAAUAUUUUUCAACAAAUUUUACCUUUCACCGCUCACAUCAUUCAUUUAAAAUAAUCUGAAGGUUAUAAAUCAUCGUGUAAAGGUGUUGUAUACAAUAUCUAGGUGUUUAUUCCCUUAUUUCAUAACCUUUAUUUCAGUUAUUAGAUAUUGUACUCAGGUUUAUCACUUUAGGUCAGAUACGGAAUUGUCAGCCAAUAUUGUGAUCAAUAUCAAUAUAAUAUUUUUGUUUAGGUAAAUAACUUGUAAUUUCAAAUAACUGUCUUGGUAUAAUUAAUUAAAUUUUUGUGUUUUA